AGUGAACGCUGGCGGUAGGCCUAACACAUGCAAGUCGAACGGCAGCACAGUAAGAGCUUGCUCUUACGGGUGGCGAGUGGCGGACGGGUGAGGAAUACAUCGGAAUCUACUUUUUCGUGGGGGAUAACGUAGGGAAACUUACGCUAAUACCGCAUACGACCUACGGGUGAAAGCAGGGGAUCUUCGGACCUUGCGCGAUUGAAUGAGCCGAUGUCGGAUUAGCUAGUUGGCGGGGUAAAGGCCCACCAAGGCGACGAUCCGUAGCUGGUCUGAGAGGAUGAUCAGACACACUGGAACUGAGACACGGACCAGACUCCUACGGGAGGCCGCAGUGGGGAAUAUUGGACAAUGGGCGCAAGCCUGAUUCAGCCAUACCGCGUGGGUGAAGAAGGCGUUCGUGUUGUAAAGCCCUUUUGUUGGGAAAGAAAAGCAGCAGGUUAAUACCCCGCUGUUCUGACGGUACCCAAAGAAUAAGCACAGGCUAACUUCGUG
Molecule: ribosomal RNA, 492 nt
Filed under: uncultured bacterium
Lineage: Bacteria
Description: partial 16S ribosomal RNA
Rfam family: Bacterial small subunit ribosomal RNA
Source: RNAcentral